RNAcentral lists this long non-coding RNA (1181 nucleotides) under Olea europaea subsp. europaea. The record is from RNAcentral. Lineage: Eukaryota; Viridiplantae; Streptophyta; Magnoliopsida; Lamiales; Oleaceae.
GUUUUCCUGCUUCCAGAAACCAUCUAGCAUCUUUUACUAUCAUUUGCGUGUUUGAUUAGAUCUCCGGUUCUCUCUCCCUCUCUCUCAUUUUAUAGUAUGUUCUCUUCUUAUUUUUUACUGUUAUGUUGUUCGUUUAGCUCGAUCCAGCCGACAAACUUCAGUUCGUGCUAGAUACAUGCUUCUUUGUGGAUUAGUUUGUUACUUUUUGUAAUUUUGCUUGAAGUUUUUUUCGUUUUCCUUGUGUGAGAUGUGAAAAGUUUGUUGGGUUACUCUUAAUUUACUUCAAUCUGCUCCGAAAGCCACAGAUUUUGCUCAAUGUAUUUUUUCCGAUUCCUGUUGUCUUUGACUAUAUUUAUUUUUUGGCUGUAGUUUGUACUAUAGUUCUAGCAUAUUUUUAGUUGAUUUUUGCUUAGUCUAGCUUGAUCUUGCUAAAAAAAUUCGAUUUUUGCUUAGUCUAGCUUGAUUUGCACCAGAAGUUUUAGUUCUUGCUUAAUAGAUUUGUUUUUUUUAUUGGAAACUGUUUAUUUGUGGUGGAUUAAUUUGGAAUUUUAUCUAUUUACUUACACUUUCUGAUAUAUUUUAUGGUUUAUUGCAGCUAUCGAAUCAAUUACUUCAUAAUAAUUGUGAUUAUUCUUGGUAAGACUGCUGAAGAUGGUGUUUCAUUCUCAUUUUAUAGAAGUUCGCACAUUUUGAGUGAACUAUAUGGUUCAAAAUUUAGAAGUAGUUUAAUAGCUUAUAAUGAAAUGGUUGGGUAUGGUAAAUAAAUAUUUCUUUCACCUAGGAAAUUAGUAACUACGAGUUUGAUUGUACUUUAAUAACCUAUUGGAGGAAUUAUGAUUUUUUUGAGCAUCUAUAUGGUUUUAUCAAGAUUUAUUCCCAUACAUUUCACAAUAUAUCUCCUUUUUCUUAUAGUUAAUCAUGCAUAUACGUGUAGAGCUAUGACGAUAAAGGACCUGUCAUAGAUGCUGUUGUAUGGCAUGAUGGAGAAGUUUGGAGGGCUGCUCUUGACACACACAGUUUUGAAGAUGAACCCGGAUGCGGGAAGCUUGCUAACUUUGUUCCUUUAACUAAUUUUAGGUAUUUAAGGCUUUUCUAGCAAUUCAAUUGACUGUCUUAAGUUAUUUAUAUUUGGGGCUCUUAGCUUGCAUCUUGGGGAAUGAGACAGAAUGCUUUUAGUUGGA